CAUCAUCGGUUGCACUGUGCUGAUGAGCCCUCAAAAGGGCGAAACAGCUGUCCACACUUGCCGUUGUUUGAUAUA
Non-coding RNA from Paramuricea clavata, 75 nucleotides. The record is from the annotation of a GenBank genome assembly. NCBI's taxonomy places the organism in Eukaryota, Metazoa, Cnidaria, Anthozoa, Malacalcyonacea, Plexauridae.